This 253-nucleotide ribosomal RNA is filed under the name uncultured bacterium. RNAcentral describes it as "partial 16S ribosomal RNA". It matches the Rfam family "Bacterial small subunit ribosomal RNA", at positions 524 to 776 of the family's 1533-position model. The record is from RNAcentral.
UACGAAGGGGGCUAGCGUUGUUCGGAAUCACUGGGCUUAAAGGGCGCGUAGGCGGGUGACUAAGUCUGUGGUGAAAUCCGGCAGCUUAACUGUCGAAUUGCCAUGGAUACUGGUUGUCUCGAGGGAGGCAGGGGUGCGCGGAACUAAUGGUGGAGCGGUGGAAUGCGUUGAUAUCAUUAGGAACGCCGGUGGCGAAGGCGGCGCACUGGUCCUCUUCUGACGCUGAGGCGCGAAAGCCAGGGGAGCAAACGGG